UCGGUAGUAGCUCAGCUGGUUAGAGCAGUCCUUACGGGGAUUAUGUCGCAGGUUCGAAUCCUGUCUACCGAC
This 72-nucleotide transfer RNA is filed under the name Oleispira sp. Its description in RNAcentral is "tRNA-OTHER". It matches the Rfam family "tRNA". Rfam says of the family: Transfer RNA (tRNA) molecules are approximately 80 nucleotides in length. Their secondary structure includes four short double-helical elements and three loops (D, anti-codon, and T loops). Lineage: Bacteria; Pseudomonadati; Pseudomonadota; Gammaproteobacteria; Oceanospirillales; Oceanospirillaceae. The record is from RNAcentral.